GUUACCUGCAGUCGAACGAUGAUCCCAGCUUGCUGGGGGAUUAGUGGCGAACGGGUGAGUAACACGUGAGUAACCUGCCCUUGACUCUGGGAUAAGCCUGGGAAACUGGGUCUAAUACCGGAUAUGACCAUUCCACGCAUGUGGUGGUGGUGGAAAGCUUUUGUGGUUUUGGAUGGACUCGCGGCCUAUCAGCUUGUUGGUGGGGUAAUGGCCUACCAAGGCGACGACGGGUAGCCGGCCUGAGAGGGUGACCGGCCACACUGGGACUGAGACACGGCCCAGACUCCUACGGGAGGCAGCAGUGGGGAAUAUUGCACAAUGGGCGCAAGCCUGAUGCAGCGACGCCGCGUGAGGGAUGACGGCCUUCGGGUUGUAAACCUCUUUCAGUAGGGAAGAAGCGAAAGUGACGGUACCUGCAGAAGAAGCGCCGGCUAACUACGUGCCAGCAGCCGCGGUAAUACGUAGGGCGCAAGCGUUAUCCGGAAUUAUUGGGCGUAAAGAGCUCGUAGGCGGUUUGUCGCGUCUGCUGUGAAAGACCGGGGCUCAACUCCGGUUCUGCAGUGGGUACGGGCAGACUAGAGUGCAGUAGGGGAGACUGGAAUUCCUGGUGUAGCGGUGAAAUGCGCAGAUAUCAGGAGGAACACCGAUGGCGAAGGCAGGUCUCUGGGCUGUAACUGACGCUGAGGAGCGAAAGCAUGGGGAGCGAACAGGAUUAGAUACCCUGGUAGUCCAUGCCGUAAACGUUGGGCACUAGGUGUGGGGGACAUUCCACGUUUUCCGCGCCGUAGCUAACGCAUUAAGUGCCCCGCCUGGGGAGUACGGCCGCAG
RNAcentral lists this ribosomal RNA (828 nucleotides) under Arthrobacter sp. PCA1-11_Pa. RNAcentral's name for it is "bacterial SSU rRNA". It matches the Rfam family "Bacterial small subunit ribosomal RNA", at positions 50 to 891 of the family's 1533-position model. The record is from RNAcentral. Lineage: Bacteria; Bacillati; Actinomycetota; Actinomycetes; Micrococcales; Micrococcaceae.